GACACUUGAUUUCUUCAUUGUUUAUGUUUAAUGGAUGACAGAUUUUGACAGUUGAACUUGAAGACGGUUCGGUUGUGUGGUUUGAAUUUUAUUUAUUUAUUCACAAUAUUACAUCGGAAACAACAGGUAUGAAUGAGAUUGGAGGAGGUGGAUGCCUGGAUGCUGAUGUGAGCUGGGCGGGCGGGCAUCGUGACGUCACUCCACCCUUCUGUCAUCGCCCGAAGCCUCCAAGUAGGGCAUGACAGGUUGAACGAGUAGUUGAUGAGGUGGUCCAGCCUUCACCAGACCUCCCCUCCUCACCCCCUCACCAUCUCACCAUCACACCACUGUGUGACGAAGCUCCAGACUAGUUCCCAUCAGUGAGCAGAGUGAGAGGAGAGGAGAACAGCACAGCGAGCGAAGUGAGUUCUGAGCGGUUGCAUGGAGGAGGAUUGUCAUUUGGUUGGUGUUGCUAGAGUGAGAGAAGAGAUGGAGCGGACGCUGCAUUAUCAGGACAUGGAGGAGAGAGACAGACAACGCCAAAGGAUGGCCUGCUCAAACGGAACAGUAGGAAGAAGAAGAAAGAUAGAAGACGCAGAAAAGAAGAUAAACUUUAACAAAAUAGUGGGACUCUAGUGUAAGAGUUUAUAUAAAAUGAAAACUACAAACAUUGACAUUGAAAAGUGCAUAACAGUGAAUUAUUGAUGUGAAGUGAUAGUGAAACGACUCGAAUUUACUUUCAUUUUCAAAAGACGUUGAAUUGAUUUGUAUUUUGUUUGUUUGAGAUGUUGUUGAUAUUGUGCAUGUUUUGCUGUAUAUUAUAAAUGCCCAUGGGGGGUGGGUAUUUUCAGGCAUCGCGGAGGCAGCUGCACGGACGGACUGCGCAGAACUUCAAUCAAGGUAAAAGUCAGCUCUCGACCGAUUCUAACAGUUCAGUCUAGUUUUUUAAAAUUUUUAUUUCUUGAAGUUUUAUUUUGGAUUCAUUUUUUUCCAGAUCUGAUUAAUUUUCUCCUCUUUCAGUGAGUUGAUAACAUUAUUAAUCCACUAAAAUAGGAGAAAAUUAUCAACUUUGAAUUUCACUUCUUAAUCUAUUUAAGUCCUAAAUUUUAUUCUUUUCUUGAAGAAGAAAUUAGUGUCUUGUUGAACUGUUAGAUCGGUCCUGGGCGACUUGUGUGGAAUUAGUAAUUGCAUGUCUGGAUCAUCACCCCCUAAUUUUUUUCAGCUUUUAUACUUUUGAAUUUGUUUUUAUUUUCAGUUGCCUUGGUUUUUCUUUAGUUGUUUCCUUUUAUUAUUUUUUUUUAACUUCCCUGCUCUUUAUUUUUUUUCAGUUUCUUAUUUUCAGUUGCUUUGGAGGUGAACCUUCAGUUCAAAUUCAAUAUCGAAGUAUAUGUCGAUAAGGGAUGUUUUGUUUAGUUUGUUUCUUUUGAUUUCUUCAAAACUGUCCCCGAUUUUAUUUCAGUUUUUUAUAUUCAGUUUGGCAUUUUUCUUCAGUUGUUCCUUUUCAUUUCUUGUUAACUAUCUCCAUCUACUUGGAGUUUUUCAUAUUUAUUGUACUAAAUUAGAUUAGAUUGUAAAUUUCUGGGGUGCUGCCACACUGUUUGCCUUUUUUCAGAAGGAAAUCGUCGUCAUCAUUAAUUUGUUUACUGUUUUUGUCUUUGUUGUGUGUUGUUGCAUCUCUCAAAAUAUUGUAAUUUUUUCAAUUGUAAUAAGUUUGUACAUUGUAAAGUGUAAUUUCAUGUACUCCCUUCCUUCUCAUUGCAGCACCAUCCAUUCAUAUUUCUAACUUUGUCACUUUAUCUCCUCUUUUUUCUCAAUUUCGUUUCCAACUUCUUGGCUUCCCGAUGAUUCAAAACCUACCUUGACCUGUAGGUCCACUCAUCUCUCAUCAUUAUUCAUUCUAUUACCCACCCACGCACAAGCCUAGAGCUCAUGUGGGCAUUAUCCAAUUCAUUUCUUUCAUUUUCAAUUCCUCAAUUGUUUUACUAUUUCCGACCACCUUUCGUAUAAAAUGAUCUUUCCCUCACUUUAGCUGCAUUUACACCAAAGUUAUUAACAAAAUGUUGAUAGAUUCUAUUAAAUUGAACGGAACUUGACAAACACAUAAAUGUUCAUCAUGUGUAUGAUAAGUUAUGUUCAAUCUAAUUGAAUCCAUAAAGAUUAUUAACUUUGGUGUAAACGCAGCUUUUAUGAAUUCAUUACUCUCAAAUUGUAAACCCCUAAAUCUAAAUUAAUAUCAAAAUUAAGUUCCCAAUCUUCAGUGUAACCUGAAUCUUUGUCUAUUUGAAGAGCCGUCUCUGCUAAGAAUAAUUUUAAUCUCACUUAAUAAUUAAAAUCCCACUUAAUGAUAAUUAAAAUGCCAUUCAAUAAUAUAAUAAUCCCGUUUGAAACUAGGUCCACUUACCUCUCAUUAUCAUUCUAUCUAUUUUACCCACGCACAAGCCUGUAACUUAUGUGGGAAUCAUAUUCUGCUUAAAAAUCGAUUCAAAAUCUAAAUUUUGAUCCAUUUUUAAACAUAAAUUUACACAUUCCUUUCACCCUACCACAUUGUCAUUAAUUUUACUCCCAUUGUAGUAAUCACCUGAAAUCAAUCGUUAGUUUCUUUUUAAUUAUUAUUUAACGAGAAUCCCAAUUAAAUGCUGUAAAUCAGCAUUUAAUUGGGAUUUUCGUUAAAUAAUAAUUAUACAUUAACUAGCAUUUGAACAAAUGCAAUCUCUAAUUUAAUUCCAUCUGUAGAUUAGUUUCUUUCCCUAAUUCCAAGUUCACCAAUAUUAACUAGGAACUUAAUUUUGAUAUUAAUUCAGUUGUGUCUCCAUCAUCCAUUAUUCUGUCUCUCUCAUUGUAUUAUUGUUUGUCUCACCACCAUUCCUUACUAAUUUCAUUUCUCUCACCCCCCCCCCACCCACCAUACCAAGCAAUUCUUACUUACCUUAUUACCUCGUAUUACCUUCACUUGCCUCUCCCCCCCUGCCCACUACAUCUAAUAAUAUUAUUCUCCCCCUUCCUGUCAUCUACAUGAAAUUAUUUUCAGUUAUAGUUUAACUUUUUCUUCUCAUAUUGUUUUCUUCAAUCUAUUAAUUUAAACUAGAAUUGAACUGUUCAUUACCCAAGUGUUGUUGACUGCACUCAAUGAACAGUUCAAUUCUAGCUUAAAUUAAUAGGUUAAAGUUUCGUAUUGUAUUAUCAUAGAGUAUUUAUCUUACUUCUUAGCACACUUUCUACUUGCAUUGCUUUUCAAUUGUUCCAAUAAUUAGCAUGAAUAUUGUGACAGAUGCAACAGCACUAGUGUGGUAGCACUCCUAGCUUAUAUUCUCCCCCCACUCUUAUGGCCUAGACAUGCACUUACCAAUACCAUUGAUUUAUUCCACUUCUGGAGGGGCACCACCCUCUUCUAUUCGUUCAAGUGAGUGUUGCCCCUUGGAAAGGGGAACCACUCUUUUUUGCCCCCUCAGGGGAACUUUCCCUCUCCCUUUCGAGGGGGAAGGAGAGCCCCCUCUGGGGGAUUUGUCCCUCUCCCUUCUGGGGAGGGAAAACUGUCACUUGGCUCUGAGUGGUCCAAUUAGGCUCAAUGCGCCCUUUGGCGUGGGUGGGACCACUCGCUACAUUGGGGGGGGGGGGCAGGACCGCUUGGAGCCAGGUGCCAGUAUUGGACGUUGAGGUUAGUGCCCGGUUUUUUUUGUGGGCCUAUCCGACAGUAAACGUUUCACUGUAAACCUGAAUCU
Molecule: long non-coding RNA, 3698 nt
Filed under: Nilaparvata lugens (brown planthopper)
Lineage: Eukaryota; Metazoa; Arthropoda; Insecta; Hemiptera; Delphacidae
Description: uncharacterized LOC120354017, transcript variant X1
Source: RNAcentral